This is a non-coding RNA of Cyanistes caeruleus (blue tit), 449 nucleotides long. The record is from RefSeq and is a predicted model, not a curated record. Lineage: Eukaryota; Metazoa; Chordata; Aves; Passeriformes; Paridae.
UUUUGCAAUAUGUAUGAGCUAAUUAAAAGCAUUAUAAGUUGUGCAUAAGAUUUCAAUAAACUGAGACUUGCUGACCAUGAUAGCAUGAGGCUUGUCUUCCGCGGCUCCGGUAAUCCCCGACCUCUGGCGACAUCUGGCGCCCGAACAGCCUUUCCCUUUCCUCCUUAGAGCUGCGUUGGGGACGGGUCCCUUGGACGGCGAUAGCUCGCCCUGAGCGCCACAUCGGUGGGCUCUGCCGCUACGUGCUGCCGACGCCUGGGGGGUUGCAACGGUACCGGUCCACAGUGGAUACCCGGGAGGUGGACACGUGCUGCCAUACCCGAUGAGCAGCCCGGUGAGCAGCCCGGACAGGAGAAGGCAACUCCGGCUUCAGAAGGCGAUUGCACCUCUCCUGCUGCAGAUUGAGGAAAGAUUCGGCACCCGGAUUCUGUUUGAGUCGGAACGGGAGA